Molecule: long non-coding RNA, 781 nt
Organism: Mercurialis annua (annual mercury)
Lineage: Eukaryota; Viridiplantae; Streptophyta; Magnoliopsida; Malpighiales; Euphorbiaceae
Exons: 3
Source: RefSeq, a predicted model, not a curated record
UUAGCUGCUUCCAUGUGUUACACUUACACUUAUCAAUGCAGUUUCCUCAGUUGUCGUUUUAUAUAUAUAUACUCCGAUGAGCCAAAUCUGUUUUAAUUAGUAGUAAUAAAUUUAGGUUCAGAGAGACGUAGAGGAAGAGAUGGAUGGUCCAGAUUAUGAAGAAAUGUCAUAUACUGAUCAUCUCAAGAGGCGCCAUGAAGACAAAGGCUUCCUCUAUGCUUGUUUGUUUGCAGUUUGUUGCUGUUUUUGCUGCUUUGAGACGUGUGAAUGUUGCUUAAACAUUCUCUGCUGCUGCUGCUAGUGCUAAUUACUUUCUUUCUCAUCUCGAUCUUCUCACUAGCGUCCCUUUUGUUCAGUACAAAAGAAUGAUUAAAUUUCAAUCAAGUGUGUGUGUGUGUGUAUCUCUUUAAAUUUCAAUCUAGUGUGUGUAUCUGUUUUUCUGAUAAAGUAUCUUCUCUAUCAGUGUUUCCAUCUCUGAUUAUGCUAAUAAAUCCACAGCCGAAAGACUGUGCUUACCUAUGUUGCACCAAAAUUUCUCCAGUCCUAUAUUUCGCAAAUACCGCACGUAUACUGGAGAAGAGGAAGAACAAGGUGUUUGCAAGGAAAAAAAUUAUAUGAACCUAAUUCACCAUAUACUACUGUAAAUAUUCAUUAAUUACUAUGCGACAUGUAUUAUUAAAUAUAACAGCCAAUCAUUAGAGAACAUUAAAUUCUUUAAAAUAUCACCAACUAAUGUAAAAUUGAUUGAUCAGUUAAUUGCAUUCAAUAAUGUCACUUGUCA